AAAGGAAUAGACGGGGGCCCGCACAAGCGGUGGAGCAUGUGGUUUAAUUCGAAGCAACGCGAAGAACCUUACCAGGGCUUGACAUCUACCUGAAGGCUUAUGGAAACAUAGGUUGUUCUUCGGAACGGGUAGACAGGUGGUGCAUGGUUGUCGUCAGCUCGUGUCGUGAGAUGUUGGGUUAAGUCCCGCAACGAGCGCAACCCUUAUUUUUAGUUGCCAGCGCGUUAAGGUGGGCACUCUAAGGAGACUGCCGGUGACAAACCGGAGGAAGGUGGGGAUGACGUCAAAUCAUCAUGCCCUUUAUGUUCUGGGCUACACACGUGCUACAAUGGUCUGCACAGCGGGUUUGCGAUGUCGUGAGGCGGAGCUAAUCCCUUAAAGCAGGUCUCAGUUCGGAUUGCAGGCUGCAACUCGCCUGCAUGAAGUCGGAAUCGCUAGUAAUCGCGAAUCAGCACGUCGCGGUGAAUACGUUCCCGGGCCUUGUACACACCGCCCGU
RNAcentral lists this ribosomal RNA (497 nucleotides) under uncultured bacterium. RNAcentral describes it as "bacterial SSU rRNA". It matches the Rfam family "Bacterial small subunit ribosomal RNA", at positions 903 to 1397 of the family's 1533-position model. The record is from RNAcentral.